RNAcentral lists this ribosomal RNA (218 nucleotides) under uncultured prokaryote. Its description in RNAcentral is "partial 16S ribosomal RNA". It matches the Rfam family "Bacterial small subunit ribosomal RNA", at positions 524 to 741 of the family's 1533-position model. The record is from RNAcentral.
GACGAACCGUCCAAACGUUGUUCGGAAUCACUGGGCUUAAAGGGCGCGUAGGCGGGUUCCCAAGUCGGUGGUGAAAUCUUUCGGCCCAACCGGAAAACAGCCGCCGAUACUGGGAGUCUCGAGGGAGGUAGGGGUCGAUGGAACUCCAGGUGGAGCGGUGAAAUGCGUAGAGAUCGGAAAGAACACCAACGGCGAAAGCACUCUGCUGGGCCGACACU